AGUUAACGAGAGGAAGCUGCUGCUGCUUAACGAGCAUCACGUGCUUCAGUGCCUUGCUCACAGACACUCGUUUCAGUCUUGCAGGAAGUUUGAGCUGCAUUUUGUUUUGGCAACAUGGAGGAAAAAGGUUCUGUGUGUGAACACUGAUGUUGUUCCUGCAGCGCUGUCUGACUUCUGACCCCCCGAUGACCUCACUCUGUAAUAGAGACUUCACAGCUCACAGAUCUCGUCUCAUGAAGAUUUAAUCAGACAGAAAAGAGAACAAAGCUCAGCAACAGAAAAGCUCUUAAAAUGACACUGAGGAGUUUUCUGUCAAGAAGUUUCUGCGCCGACGGCAAACAGAGGAAAAGAGAGAGAGAAGAGCAGAAGAGGAAGAUUUGACUGUUUCCUCCUGAACAAGAAGAAUCAGACGCGAUGAAAGACGAGCAGAGAUCAGCUGCAGAUUCUGUUUUUAUUUAAAAUUAUAUUUAAUAUUUUAUUCUGUUCAUGUAAAUCUGAAACUGGAACGAACAGUUUUGACUUCAUGUUACUUUCCUUUUUUUCUUCAGUCACAAUAACCUGAAAACAAAAACAUAUAUUAGAAGAAAGAAGAGAAACUGUGUCCCUGCUCAGCCAACAGACUUUACACUGAGGUGACCUCACAUACAUACAAUAUUUUAAAAAUGAAAAAGAUUUUUAAAGAUUUAUGUCUUCAGUAGAAAUCUACUAAACUAGCAGGAGCUCAUUUAAAUAAAAUGUCCACAUCCAGCAGUUACGGA
Thunnus maccoyii (southern bluefin tuna) is the source of this 758-nucleotide long non-coding RNA. RefSeq lists it as uncharacterized. The record is from RefSeq and is a predicted model, not a curated record. NCBI's taxonomy places the organism in Eukaryota, Metazoa, Chordata, Actinopteri, Scombriformes, Scombridae. The transcript is spliced from 5 exons.